CGGGAGGCAGCAGUAGGGAAUCUUCGGCAAUGGGGGCAACCCUGACCGAGCAACGCCGCGUGAGUGAAGAAGGUUUUCGGAUCGUAAAGCUCUGUUGUAAGUCAAGAACGGGUGUGAGAGUGGAAAGUUCACACUGUGACGGUAGCUUACCAGAAAGGGACGGCUAACUACGUGCCAGCAGCCGCGGUAAUACGUAGGUCCCGAGCGUUGUCCGGAUUUAUUGGGCGUAAAGCGAGCGCAGGCGGUUUGAUAAGUCUGAAGUUAAAGGCUGUGGCUCAACCAUAGUUCGCUUUG
Molecule: ribosomal RNA, 294 nt
Filed under: Streptococcus sp. B08_58
Lineage: Bacteria; Bacillati; Bacillota; Bacilli; Lactobacillales; Streptococcaceae
Description: partial 16S ribosomal RNA
Rfam family: Bacterial small subunit ribosomal RNA
Source: RNAcentral